This 497-nucleotide ribosomal RNA is filed under the name uncultured bacterium. RNAcentral's name for it is "partial 16S ribosomal RNA". It matches the Rfam family "Bacterial small subunit ribosomal RNA", at positions 28 to 507 of the family's 1533-position model. The record is from RNAcentral.
GAUGAACGCUGGCGGCGUGCCUAAUACAUGCAAGUCGAGCGAACGGACGAGAAGCUUGCUUCUCUGAUGUUAGCGGCGGACGGGUGAGUAACACGUGGAUAACCUACCUAUAAGACUGGGAUAACUUCGGGAAACCGUAGCUAAUACCGGAUAAUAUUUUGAACCGCAUGGUUCAAAAGUGAAAGACGGUCUUGCUGUCACUUAUAGAUGGAUCCGCGCUGCAUUAGCUAGUUGGUAAGGUAACGGCUUACCAAGGCAGCGAUGCAUAGCCGACCUGAGAGGGUGAUCGGCCACACUGGAACUGAGACACGGUCCAGACUCCUACGGGAGGCAGCAGUAGGGAAUCUUCCGCAAUGGGCGAAAGCCUGACGGAGCAACGCCGCGUGAGUGAUGAAGGUCUUCGGAUCGUAAAACUCUGUUAUUAGGGAAGAACAUAUGUGUAAGUAACUGUGCACAUCCUGACGGUACCUAAUCAGAAAGCCACGGCUAACUACGUG